RNAcentral lists this ribosomal RNA (261 nucleotides) under uncultured prokaryote. RNAcentral's name for it is "partial 16S ribosomal RNA". It matches the Rfam family "Bacterial small subunit ribosomal RNA", at positions 524 to 784 of the family's 1533-position model. The record is from RNAcentral.
UACGUAGGUGGCAAGCGUUGUCCGGAUUUAUUGGGCGUAAAGGGAGCGCAGGCGGUGACUUAAGUCUGAUGUGAAAGCCCAGGGCUCAACCGUGGAAGGUCAUUGGAAACUGGGUCACUUGAAUAUAGAAGAGGAAAGUGGAAUUCCAUGUGUAGCGGUGAAAUGCGUAGAUAUAUGGAGGAACACCAGUGGCGAAGGCGACUUUCUGGUCUAUUAUUGACGCUGAGGCUCGAAAGCAUGGGUAGCAAACAGGAUUAGAUA